AUGAACGCUGGCGGCGUGCCUAAUACAUGCAAGUCGAGCGAACAGAUGAGGAGCUUGCUCCUCUGACGUUAGCGGCGGACGGGUGAGUAACACGUGGAUAACCUACCUAUAAGACUGGGAUAACUUCGGGAAACCGGAGCUAAUACCGGAUAAUAUAUUGAACCGCAUGGUUCAAUAGUGAAAGACGGUUUUGCUGUCACUUAUAGAUGGAUCCGCGCCGCAUUAGCUAGUUGGUAAGGUAACGGCUUACCAAGGCGACGAUGCGUAGCCGACCUGAGAGGGUGAUCGGCCACACUGGAACUGAGACACGGUCCAGACUCCUACGGGAGGCAGCAGUAGGGAAUCUUCCGCAAUGGGCGAAAGCUUGACGGAGCAACGCCGCGUGAGUGAUGAAGGUCUUCGGAUCGUAAAACUCUGUUAUUAGGGAAGAACAAAUGUGUAAGUAACUAUGCACGUCUUGAUGGUACCUAAUCAGAAAGCCACGGCUAACUACGUG
RNAcentral lists this ribosomal RNA (496 nucleotides) under uncultured bacterium. RNAcentral describes it as "partial 16S ribosomal RNA". It matches the Rfam family "Bacterial small subunit ribosomal RNA", at positions 29 to 507 of the family's 1533-position model. The record is from RNAcentral.